Molecule: ribosomal RNA, 761 nt
Filed under: uncultured bacterium
Lineage: Bacteria
Description: bacterial SSU rRNA
Rfam family: Bacterial small subunit ribosomal RNA
Source: RNAcentral
AGAGUUUGAUCAUGGCUCAGAACGAACGCUGGCGGCGUGCCUAACACAUGCAAGUCGUGCGAGAAAGUUCCUUCGGGGACGAGUAAAGCGGCGCACGGGUGAGUAACACGUAGGUAACCUGCCCCACAGUCUGGAACAACUGGAGGAAACUUCAGCUAAUGCCGGAUAAGACCACGGCCCCUUCGGGAGCUGUGGCCAAAGAUGGCCUCUGCUUGCAAGCUAUCGCUGAGGGAUGGGCCUGCGGGUCAUUAGCUAGUUGGUGAGGUAACGGCUCACCAAGGCAGUGAUGACUAGCUGGUCUGAGAGGAUGACCAGCCACACUGGGACUGAGACACGGCCCAGACUCCUACGGGAGGCAGCAGUGGGGAAUAUUGCGCAAUGGACGAAAGUCUGACGCAGCGACGCCGCGUGGGUGAUGAAGGCCUUCGGGUCGUAAAGCCCUGUCGCAGGGGAAGAAUAAGCCUCGGGAUAAUACCCCGGGGCCCUGACGGUACCCUGUAAGAAAGCACCGGCUAACUCCGUGCCAGCAGCCGCGGUAAUACGGAGGGUGCAAGCGUUGUUCGGAAUUACUGGGCGUAAAGCGCGUGUAGGCGGCCGAUUAAGUCUGGUGUGAAAGCCCGGGGCUCACCCCCGGAAGUGCGCUGGAAACUGGUCGGCUAGAGUAUGGGAGAGGAAAGUGACUCCCGUGUAGCGUGAAAUGCGUAGAUAUCGGGAGGAACACAGCGGCGAGCGCUUUCUGACAUACUGACGCUGAAACGCGA